Molecule: ribosomal RNA, 465 nt
Filed under: uncultured bacterium
Lineage: Bacteria
Description: partial 16S ribosomal RNA
Rfam family: Bacterial small subunit ribosomal RNA
Source: RNAcentral
GACGAACGCUGGCGGCGUGCUUAACACAUGCAAGUCGAACGGAAAGGCCCCUUUGGGGGUACUCGAGUGGCGAACGGGUGAGUAACACGUGAGUAACCUUCCCUUGACUUCGGGAUAACUUCAGGAAACUGGGGCUAAUACCGGAUAGGAAUCCUUGCUGCAUGGUGGGGGUUGGAAAGCUUCGGCGGUUUUGGCUGGACUCGCGGCUUAUCAGCUUGUUGGUGGGGUAGUGGCUUACCAAGGCUUUGACGGGUAGCCGGCCUGAGUGGGCGACCGGCCACAUUGGGACUGAGAUACGGCCCAGACUCCUACGGGAGGCAGCAGUGGGGAAGAUUGCACAAGGGGCGGAAGCCUGAUGCAGCAACGCCGCGGGCGGGAUGACGGCCUUCGGGUUGUAAACCGCAUUCAGCAGGGGCGAAGCUUGUGGUGACGGUACCUGCAGAAGAAGCACCGGCUAACUACGUG